AUCCUGGCCUUAUUAUUGGUUUUUUCUUAACUUACACAUGCAAGUCUCAGCACACCUGUGAGUAACGCCCCUGUAACCACUAUUGGCAUAGGGAGCUGGUGUCAGGCGCAACCAAUUGCCCACAAUACCUAGUUUCACCACACCCCCAAGGGUAUUCAGCAGUGAUAAAUAUUGUUUAUAAGCGACAGCUUGACUUAGCCAGAGAAAAGAGAGCUGGCCAAUCCAGUGCCAGCCGCCGCGGCUACACUGGAAGCUCAAAUUAAUAAUUAUCGGCGUUAAGCGUGAUUAAAGUCCAAACAAACUAGGGUCAAAUUAAUACUUAGUAGUGAUAAGCUUAUUAUUAAGAAGAACAAGAACGAAAGUUACCCUAUUUAUUAUACUUAAAUACACGACAGCUAGGAACACAAACUGGGAUUAGAUACCCCAUUAUGCCUACCCGUAAAUAAUCAACUUACACCUACCAACGCCAGGGGACUACGAGCAAUGCUUAAAACCCAAAGGACUUGACGGUGUUCCACCCAACUAGAGGAGCCUGUUCUAGAAUCGAUGAUCCCCGCUAAACCCUACCACUCCUAGCCUAUUCAGCCUGUAUACUUCCGUCGAAAGUUUACCGUGUGAAUGUUCAUAAGUAGACCCAAUGAUUUACCCAUCAAUAUGUCAGGUCAAGGUGCAGCCCAAGGAACGGAGAGUAAUGGGCUACAAUUUCUAAGGUAGAACAUACGAAAGUCUAUGUGAAAUCAUAGUUAUGAAGGUGGAUUUAGUAGUAAAAAGAAAGUAGAGUGUUCUUUUUAACAUGGCCCUGGAACGUGUACAAACCGCCCGUCGCCCUCUUCGAUAAAUUAAAUUACAGUUUCUAACCCAUUUUUAUUCCCUUAGAAGAGGUAAGUCGUAACAUGGUAAGUGUACUGGAAAGUGCACUUAGGACAUUA
RNAcentral lists this non-coding RNA (929 nucleotides) under Pulchrana picturata. RNAcentral describes it as "12S ribosomal RNA". It matches the Rfam family "Bacterial small subunit ribosomal RNA". Lineage: Eukaryota; Metazoa; Chordata; Amphibia; Anura; Ranidae. The record is from RNAcentral.